CCUACGGGAGGCAGCAGUGAGGAAUAUUGGUCAAUGGUCGGGAGACUGAACCAGCCAAGCCGCGUGAGGGAUGAAGGUACAGAGUAUCGUAAACCUCUUUUGUCAGGGAACAAAGGCGGGGACGUGUCCCCGGAUGAGUGUACCUGAAGAAAAAGCAUCGGCUAACUCCGUGCCAGCAGCCGCGGUAAUACGGAGGAUGCGAGCGUUAUCCGGAUUUAUUGGGUUUAAGGGGUGCGCAGGCGGUCUGUUAAGUCAGCGGUCAAAGCCCGGGGCUCAACCCCGGCCCGCCGUUGAAACUGGGAGGCUCGAGUUGGAGAGAAGUAUGCGGAAUGCGCGGUGUAGCGGUGAAAUGCAUAGAUAUCGCGCAGAACUCCGAUUGCGAAGGCAGCAUGCCGGCUCCACACUGACGCUGAGGCACGAAAGCGUGGGUAUCGAACAGGAUUAGAUACCCCAGUAGUC
This 459-nucleotide ribosomal RNA is filed under the name uncultured bacterium. RNAcentral's name for it is "partial 16S ribosomal RNA". It matches the Rfam family "Bacterial small subunit ribosomal RNA", at positions 338 to 795 of the family's 1533-position model. The record is from RNAcentral.